UUCGUGGUAAACUUCUUAGAGGGUCUGUUGGUAUCCAACCAAAGUCAGGAAGGCAAUAACAGGUCUGUGAUGCCCUUGGAUGUUCUGGGCCGCACGCGCGCUACACUGACGAUGUCAGAGAGUGUCUCCUUCACCGAGAGGUGUGGGUAAUCUCUUAAACAUCGUCGUGCUGGGGAUAGACCAUUGCAAUUUUUGAUCUUAAACGAGGAAUUCCUAG
Molecule: ribosomal RNA, 217 nt
Filed under: uncultured Symbiodinium
Lineage: Eukaryota; Dinophyceae; Suessiales; Symbiodiniaceae
Description: partial Eukaryotic small subunit ribosomal RNA
Rfam family: Eukaryotic small subunit ribosomal RNA
Source: RNAcentral